Molecule: ribosomal RNA, 301 nt
Filed under: uncultured bacterium
Lineage: Bacteria
Description: partial 16S ribosomal RNA
Rfam family: Bacterial small subunit ribosomal RNA
Source: RNAcentral
CAGUAGCCGCGGGAAUACGAAGGGGGCUAGCGUUGUUCGGAUUUACUGGGCGUAAAGCGCACGUAGGCGGAUCGAUCAGUCAGGGGUGAAAUCCCAGAGCUCAACUCUGGAACUGCCUUUGAUACUGUCGAUCUGGAGUAUGGAAGAGGUGAGUGGAAUUCCGAGUGUAGAGGUGAAAUUCGUAGAUAUUCGGAGGAACACCAGUGGCGAAGGCGGCUCACUGGUCCAUUACUGACGCUGAGGUGCGAAAGCGUGGGGAGCAAACAGGAUUAGAUACCCCAGUAGUCCCUGUCUCUUUACC